This 1485-nucleotide ribosomal RNA is filed under the name Escherichia coli. RNAcentral describes it as "partial 23S ribosomal RNA". It matches the Rfam family "Bacterial large subunit ribosomal RNA", at positions 1 to 1529 of the family's 2925-position model. The record is from RNAcentral. Lineage: Bacteria; Pseudomonadati; Pseudomonadota; Gammaproteobacteria; Enterobacterales; Enterobacteriaceae.
GUUAAGCGACUAAGCGUACACGGUGGAUGCCCUGGCAGUCAGAGGCGAUGAAGGACGUGCUAAUCUGCGAUAAGCGUCGGUAAGGUGAUAUGAACCGUUAUAACCGGCGAUUUCCGAAUGGGGAAACCCAGUGUGUUUCGACACACUAUCAUUAACUGAAUCCAUAGGUUAAUGAGGCGAACCGGGGGAACUGAAACAUCUAAGUACCCCGAGGAAAAGAAAUCAACCGAGAUUCCCCCAGUAGCGGCGAGCGAACGGGGAGCAGCCCAGAGCCUGAAUCAGUGUGUGUGUUAGUGGAAGCGUCUGGAAAGGCGCGCGAUACAGGGUGACAGCCCCGUACACAAAAAUGCACAUGCUGUGAGCUCGAUGAGUAGGGCGGGACACGUGGUAUCCUGUCUGAAUAUGGGGGGACCAUCCUCCAAGGCUAAAUACUCCUGACUGACCGAUAGUGAACCAGUACCGUGAGGGAAAGGCGAAAAGAACCCCGGCGAGGGGAGUGAAAAAGAACCUGAAACCGUGUACGUACAAGCAGUGGGAGCACAGAGCAAUCUGUGUGACUGCGUACCUUUUGUAUAAUGGGUCAGCGACUUAUAUUCUGUAGCAAGGUUAACCGAAUAGGGGAGCCGAAGGGAAACCGAGUCUUAACUGGGCGUUAAGUUGCAGGGUAUAGACCCGAAACCCGGUGAUCUAGCCAUGGGCAGGUUGAAGGUUGGGUAACACUAACUGGAGGACCGAACCGACUAAUGUUGAAAAAUUAGCGGAUGACUUGUGGCUGGGGGUGAAAGGCCAAUCAAACCGGGAGAUAGCUGGUUCUCCCCGAAAGCUAUUUAGGUAGCGCCUCGUGAAUUCAUCUCCGGGGGUAGAGCACUGUUUCGGCAAGGGGGUCAUCCCGACUUACCAACCCGAUGCAAACUGCGAAUACCGGAGAAUGUUAUCACGGGAGACACACGGCGGGUGCUAACGUCCGUCGUGAAGAGGGAAACAACCCAGACCGCCAGCUAAGGUCCCAAAGUCAUGGUUAAGUGGGAAACGAUGUGGGAAGGCCCAGACAGCCAGGAUGUUGGCUUAGAAGCAGCCAUCAUUUAAAGAAAGCGUAAUAGCUCACUGGUCGAGUCGGCCUGCGCGGAAGAUGUAACGGGGCUAAACCAUGCACCGAAGCUGCGGCAGCGACGCUUAUGCGUUGUUGGGUAGGGGAGCGUUCUGUAAGCCUGUGAAGGUGUGCUGUGAGGCAUGCUGGAGGUAUCAGAAGUGCGAAUGCUGACAUAAGUAACGAUAAAGCGGGUGAAAAGCCCGCUCGCCGGAAGACCAAGGGUUCCUGUCCAACGUUAAUCGGGGCAGGGUGAGUCGACCCCUAAGGCGAGGCCGAAAGGCGUAGUCGAUGGGAAACAGGUUAAUAUUCCUGUACUUGGUGUUACUGCGAAGGGGGGACGGAGAAGGCUAUGUUGGCCGGGCGACGGUUGUCCCGGUUUAAGCGUGUAGGCUGGU